Molecule: ribosomal RNA, 433 nt
Filed under: uncultured bacterium
Lineage: Bacteria
Description: partial 16S ribosomal RNA
Rfam family: Bacterial small subunit ribosomal RNA
Source: RNAcentral
AACGAACGCUGGCGGCAUGCCUAACACAUGCAAGACGAACGAGACCUUCGGGUCUAGUGGCGCACGUGUGCGUAACGCGUGGGAACCUGCCCUUAGGUUCGGAAUAACUCCCCGAAAGGGGUGCUAAUACCGGAUAAUGUCUUCGGACCAAAGAUUUAUCGCCUUUGGAUGGGCCCGCGUUGGAUUAGCUAGUUGGUAGGGUAAAAGCCUACCAAGGCGACGAUCCAUAGCUGGUCUGAGAGGAUGAUCAGCCACACUGGGACUGAGACACGGCCCAGACUCCUACGGGAGGCAGCAGUGGGGAAUAUUGGACAAGGGGCGAAAGCCUGAUCCAGCAAUGCCGCGUGAGUGAUGAAGGCCUUAGGGUUGUAAAGCUCUUUUACCCGGGAUGAUAAUGACAGUACCGGGAGAAUAAGCUCCGGCUAACUCCGUG